Molecule: transfer RNA, 64 nt
Filed under: Patella vulgata (common limpet)
Lineage: Eukaryota; Metazoa; Mollusca; Gastropoda; Patellidae
Description: tRNA-Glu
Source: RNAcentral
GUUAUAGUAGUGUAAUUGCAUAGUGGGCUUUCAUUCCAUUGGAACAAAAUUUUUGUCUAUAAUU